CUACGGGUGGCACCAGUGGGGAAUAUUGCACAAUGGGCGCAAGCCUGAUGCAGCCAUGCCGCGUGUAUGAAGAAGGCCUUCGGGUUGUAAAGUACUUUCAGCGGGGAGGAAGGGAGUAAAGUUAAUACCUUUGCUCAUUGACGUUACCCGCAGAAGAAGCACCGGCUAACUCCGUGUCAGCAGCCGCGGUAAUACGGAGGGUGCAAGCGUUAAUCGGAAUUACUGGGCGUAAAGCGCACGCAGGCGGUUUGUUAAGUCAGAUGUGAAAUCCCCGGGCUCAACCUGGGAACUGCAUCUGAUACUGGCAAGCUUGAGUCUCGUAGAGGGGGGUAGAAUUCCAGGUGUAGCGGUGAUAUGCGUAGAGAUCUGGAGGAAUACCGGUGGCGAAGGCGGCCCCCUGGACGAAGACUGACGCUCAGGUGCGAAAGCGUGGGGAGCAAACAGGAUUAGAUACCCGAGUAGUC
Molecule: ribosomal RNA, 464 nt
Filed under: uncultured bacterium
Lineage: Bacteria
Description: partial 16S ribosomal RNA
Rfam family: Bacterial small subunit ribosomal RNA
Source: RNAcentral